RNAcentral lists this ribosomal RNA (497 nucleotides) under uncultured bacterium. RNAcentral describes it as "partial 16S ribosomal RNA". It matches the Rfam family "Bacterial small subunit ribosomal RNA", at positions 28 to 507 of the family's 1533-position model. The record is from RNAcentral.
GAUGAACGCUGGCGGCGUGCCUAAUACAUGCAAGUCGAGCGAACGGACGAGAAGCUUGCUUCUCUGAUGUUAGCGGCGGACGGGUGAGUAACACGUGGAUAACCUACCUAUAAGACUGGGAUAACUUCGGGAAACCGGAGCUAAUACCGGAUGAUAUUUUGAACCGCAUGGUUCAAAAGUGAAAGACGGUCUUGCUGUCACUUAUAGAUGGAUCCGCACUGCAUUAGCUAGUUGGUAAGGUAACGGCUUACCAAGGCAACGAUGCAUAGCCGACCUGAGAGGGUGAUCGGCCACACUGGAACUGAGACACGGUCCAGACUCCUACGGGAGGCAGCAGUAGGGAAUCUUCCGCAAAGGGCGAAAGCCUGACGGAGCAACGCCGCGUGAGUGAUGAAGGUCUUCGGAUCGUAAAACUCUGUUAUUAGGGAAGAACAUAUGUGUAAGUAACUGUGCACAUCUUGACGGUACCUAAUCAGAAAGCCACGGCUAACUACGUG